GGAGUAGCUCAGUUGGAUUAGAGCAUCGGAUUGUGGCUCCGAAGGUCGGGGGUUCGAGUCUCCUCU
RNAcentral lists this transfer RNA (66 nucleotides) under bovine gut metagenome. It matches the Rfam family "tRNA", at positions 6 to 65 of the family's 71-position model. From Rfam's summary of the family: Transfer RNA (tRNA) molecules are approximately 80 nucleotides in length. Their secondary structure includes four short double-helical elements and three loops (D, anti-codon, and T loops). Further hydrogen bonds mediate the characteristic L-shaped molecular structure. tRNAs have two regions of fundamental functional importance: the anti-codon, which is responsible for specific mRNA codon recognition, and the 3' end, to which the tRNAs corresponding amino acid is attached (by aminoacyl-tRNA synthetases). tRNAs cope with the degeneracy of the genetic code in two manners: having more than one tRNA (with a specific anti-codon) for a particular amino acid; and 'wobble' base-pairing, i.e. permitting non-standard base-pairing at the 3rd anti-codon position. The record is from RNAcentral.